RNAcentral lists this ribosomal RNA (102 nucleotides) under Cyrtochilum aureum. RNAcentral's name for it is "partial 18S ribosomal RNA". It matches the Rfam family "Eukaryotic small subunit ribosomal RNA", at positions 1730 to 1831 of the family's 1831-position model. Lineage: Eukaryota; Viridiplantae; Streptophyta; Magnoliopsida; Asparagales; Orchidaceae. The record is from RNAcentral.
UUGCCGCCCGUGACUCGGCGAGAAGUCCAUUGAACCUUAUCAUUUAGAGGAAGGAGAAGUCGUAACAAGGUUUCCGUAGGUGAACCUGCGGAAGGAUCAUUG